GAGUUUGAUCAUGGCUCAGAUUGAACGCUGGCGGCAUGCCUUACACAUGCAAGUCGAACGGCAGCACGGGAGCUUGCUCCUGGGUGGCGAGUGGCGAACGGGUGAGUAAUGCAUCGGAACGUAUCCUGGAGUGGGGGAUAACGUAGCGAAAGUUACGCUAAUACCGCAUAUUCUGUGAGCAGGAAAGCGGGGGACCUUCGGGCCUCGCGCUCUUGGAGCGGCCGAUGUCGGAUUAGCUAGUUGGUGAGGUAAAGGCUCACCAAGGCGACGAUCCGUAGCAGGUCUGAGAGGAUGAUCUGCCACACUGGAACUGAGACACGGUCCAGACUCCUACGGGAGGCAGCAGUGGGGAAUUUUGGACAAUGGGGGCAACCCUGAUCCAGCCAUGCCGCGUGAGUGAAGAAGGCC
RNAcentral lists this ribosomal RNA (408 nucleotides) under bacterium enrichment culture clone ALO1_GLFRUDD03F3H86. Its description in RNAcentral is "bacterial SSU rRNA". It matches the Rfam family "Bacterial small subunit ribosomal RNA", at positions 9 to 416 of the family's 1533-position model. RNAcentral also lists the same sequence under 7 other names. The record is from RNAcentral.